AUGCACGCUGGCGGCGUGCUUAACACCUGCCAGUCGCACGGAAAGGCUCCUGCUUGCAGGGGUGCUCGAGUGGCGAACGGGUGAGUAACACGUGGGUGAUCUGCCCUGCACUUCGGGAUAAGCCUGGGAAACUGGGUCUAAUACCGGAUAGGACGAUGGUUUGGAUGCCAUUGUGGAAAGUUUUUCGGUGUGGGAUGAGCUCGCGGCCUAUCAGCUUGUUGGUGGGGUAAUGGCCUACCAAGGCGUCGACGGGUAGCCGGCCUGAGAGGGUGUACGGCCACAUUGGGACUGAGAUACGGCCCAGACUCCUACGGGAGGCAGCAGUGGGGAAUAUUGCACAAUGGGCGCAAGCCUGAUGCAGCGACGCCGCGUGGGGGAUGACGGCCUUCGGGUUGUAAACUCCUUUCGCUAGGGACGAAGCGCAAGUGACGGUACCUGGAGAAGAAGCACCGGCUAACUACGU
This 463-nucleotide ribosomal RNA is filed under the name uncultured bacterium. Its description in RNAcentral is "partial 16S ribosomal RNA". It matches the Rfam family "Bacterial small subunit ribosomal RNA", at positions 29 to 506 of the family's 1533-position model. The record is from RNAcentral.